Molecule: ribosomal RNA, 928 nt
Filed under: human gut metagenome
Description: bacterial SSU rRNA
Rfam family: Bacterial small subunit ribosomal RNA
Source: RNAcentral
AGAGUUUGAUCCUGGCUCAGGAUGAACGCUAGCGACAGGCCUAACACAUGCAAGUCGAGGGGCAGCGGAGAGGUAGCAAUACCUUUGCCGGCGACCGGCGCACGGGUGAGUAACACGUAUGCAAUCCACCUGUAACAGGGGGAUAACCCGGAGAAAUCCGGACUAAUACCCCAUAAUAUGGGCUCUCCGCAUGGAGGGUCCAUUAAAGAGAGCAAUUUUGGUUACAGACGAGCAUGCGCUCCAUUAGCCAGUUGGCGGGGUAACGGCCCACCAAAGCGACGAUGGAUAGGGGUUCUGAGAGGAAGGUCCCCCACAUUGGAACUGAGACACGGUCCAAACUCCUACGGGAGGCAGCAGUGAGGAAUAUUGGUCAAUGGUCGGCAGACUGAACCAGCCAAGUCGCGUGAGGGAAGACGGCCCUACGGGUUGUAAACCUCUUUUGUCGGAGAGUAAAGUACGCUACGUGUAGCGUAUUGCAAGUAUCCGAAGAAAAAGCAUCGGCUAACUCCGUGCCAGCAGCCGCGGUAAUACGGAGGAUGCAAGCGUUAUCCGGAUUUAUUGGGUUUAAAGGGUGCGUAGGCGGCACGCCAAGUCAGCGGUGAAAUUUCCGGGCUCAACCCGGACUGUGCCGUUGAAACUGGCGAGCUAGAGUGCACAAGAGGCAGGCGGAAUGCGUGGUGUAGCGGUGAAAUGCAUAGAUAUCACGCAGAACCCCGAUUGCGAAGGCAGCCUGCUAGGGUGCGACAGACGCUGAGGCACGAAAGCGUGGGUAUCGAACAGGAUUAGAUACCCUGGUAGUCCACGCAGUAAACGAUGAAUACUAACUGUUUGCGAUACAAUGUAAGCGGUACAGCGAAAGCGUUAAGUAUUCCACCUGGGGAGUACGCCGGCAACGGUGAAACUCAAAGGAAUUGACGGGGGCCCGCAC